Molecule: long non-coding RNA, 2658 nt
Filed under: Sparus aurata (gilthead seabream)
Lineage: Eukaryota; Metazoa; Chordata; Actinopteri; Spariformes; Sparidae
Description: lncRNA (ENSSAUG00010000594.1)
Source: RNAcentral
UGUUUUUGUUUUUUUAUUAAAAUGUAACAUGCAGUGGUCACAUAUACUUCUCUUCUCUCUUCAGAUGCAGUUUUAAAAUAUUUCACCAGCAGAGUGACACAGCAUCAGGUGCUCCUGUCCUCUACCUCAGCACAGCAGAGUGACACAGCAUCAGGUGCUCCUGUCCUCUACCUCAGCACAGCAGAGUGACACAGCAUCAGGUGCUCCUGUCCUCUACCUCAGCACAGCAGAGUGACACAGCAUCAGGUGCUCCUGUCCUCUACCUCAGCACAGCAGAGAGACACAGCAUCAGGUGCUCCUGUCCUCUACCUCAGCACAGCAGAGACACAGCAUCAGGUGCUCCUGUCCUCUACCUCAGCACAGCAGAGAGACACAGCAUCAGGUGCUCCUGUCCUCUACCUCAGCACAGCAGAGUGACACAGCAUCAGGUGCUCCUGUCCUCUACCUCAGCACAGCAGAGUGACACAGCAUCAGGUGCUCCUGUCCUCUACCUCAGCACAGCAGAGAGACACAGCAUCAGGUGCUCCUGUCCUCUACCUCAGCACAGCAGAGUGACACAGCAUCAGGUGCUCCUGUCCUCUACCUCAGCACAGCAGAGUGACACAGCAUCAGGUGCUCCUGUCCUCUACCUCAGCACAGCAGAGACACAGCAUCAGGUGCUCCUGUCCUCUACCUCAGCACAGCAGAGAGACACAGCAUCAGGUGCUCCUGUCCUCUACCUCAGCACAGCAGAGAGACACAGCAUCAGGUGCUCCUGUCCUCUACCUCAGACACAGCAUCAGGUGCUCCUGUCCUCUACCUCAGCACAGCAGAGUGACACAGCAUCAGGUGCUCCUGUCCUCUACCUCAGCACAGCAGAGAGACACAGCAUCAGGUGCUCCUGUCCUCUACCUCAGCACAGCAGAGAGACACAGCAUCAGGUGCUCCUGUCCUCUACCUCAGCACAGCAGAGUGACACAGCAUCAGGUGCUCCUGUCCUCUACCUCAGCACAGCAGAGAGACACAGCAUCAGGUGCUCCUGUCCUCUACCUCAGCACAGCAGAGAGACACAGCAUCAGGUGCUCCUGUCCUCUACCUCAGCACAGCAGAGAGACACAGCAUCAGGUGCUCCUGUCCUCUACCUCAGCACACAGCAUCAGGUGCUCCUGUCCUCUACCUCAGCACAGCAGAGUGACACAGCAUCAGGUGCUCCUGUCCUCUACCUCAGCACAGCAGAGAGACACAGCAUCAGGUGCUCCUGUCCUCUACCUCAGCACAGCAGAGAGACACAGCAUCAGGUGCUCCUGUCCUCUACCUCAGUACAGCAGAGUGACACAGCAUCAGGUGCUCCUGUCCUCUACCUCAGCACAGCAGAGAGACACAGCAUCAGGUGCUCCUGUCCUCUACCUCAGCACAGCAGAGAGACACAGCAUCAGGUGCUCCUGUCCUCUACCUCAGCACAGCAGAGAGACACAGCAUCAGGUGCUCCUGUCCUCUACCUCAGCACAGCAGACACAGCAGAGAGACACAGCAUCAGGUGCUCCUGUCCUCUACCUCAGCACAGCAGAGAGACACAGCAUCAGGUGCUCCUGUCCUCUACCUCAGCACAGCAGAGUGGACACAGCAUCAGGUGCUCCUGUCCUCUACCUCAGCACAGCAGAGUAGACACAGCAUCAGGUGCUCCUGUCCUCUACCUCAGCACAGCAGAGUGACACAGCAUCAGGUGCUCCUGUCCUCUACAGCACAGCAGAGAGUGACACAGCAUCAGGUGCUCCUGUCCUCUACCUCAGCACAGCAGAGACACAGCAUCAGGUGCUCCUGUCCUCUACCUCAGCACAGCAGAGUGACACAGCAUCAGGUGCUCCUGUCCUCUACCUCAGCAGCAGAGUGACACAGCAUCAGGUGCUCCUGUCCUCUACCUCAGCACAGCAGAGACACAGCAUCAGGUGCUCCUGUCCUCUACCUCAGCACAGAGUGACACAGCAUCAGGUGCUCCUGUCCUCUACCUCAGCACAGCAGAGAGACACAGCAUCAGGUGCUCCUGUCCUCUACCUCAGCACAGCAGAGACACAGCAUCAGGUGCUCCUGUCCUCUACCUCAGCACAGCAGAGUGACACAGCAUCAGGUGCUCCUGUCCUCUACCUCAGCACAGCAGAGAGACACAGCAUCAGGUGCUCCUGUCCUCUACCUCAGCACAGCAGAGAGACACAGCAUCAGGUGCUCCUGUCCUCUACCUCAGCACAGCAGAGUGACACAGCAUCAGGUGCUCCUGUCUCUACCUCAGCACAGCAGAGAGACACAGCAUCAGGUGCUCCUGUCCUCUACCUCAGCACAGCAGAGAGACACAGCAUCAGGUGCUCCUGUCCUCUACCUCAGCCAGCAGAGUAGACACAGCAUCAGGUGCUCCUGUCCUCUACCUCAGCACAGCAGAGAGACACAGCAUCAGGUGCUCCUGUCCUCUACCUCAGCACAGCAGAGAGACACAGCAUCAGGUGCUCCUGUCCUCUACCUCAGCACAGCAGAGUGACACAGCAUCAGGUGCUCCUGUCCUCUACCUCAGCACAGCAGAGAGACACAGCAUCAGGUGCUCCUGUCCUCUACCUCAGCACAGCAGAGAGACACAGCAUCAGGUGCUCCUGUCCUCUACCUCAGCCACAGCAGAGGAGACACAGCAUCAGG